This 553-nucleotide long non-coding RNA is filed under the name Phoenix dactylifera (date palm). RNAcentral's name for it is "long non-coding RNA (PDAC_LNC015281)". The record is from RNAcentral. Lineage: Eukaryota; Viridiplantae; Streptophyta; Magnoliopsida; Arecales; Arecaceae.
GUUUGAGCACCCUUGCUUUGGAUAACUUAUGUAAUUUGGAUUAGAGAUCCAACAAUAGAUGGUGUAGGUAAACUGUAAACAUGAUUAACACAUCCACAGGAAUCUAGAAUAACAAAUCAUCUUAGAUAUCAAUUAUAUCUGCUGUUUAGCAUCAGAUUUAUAGGACCAGGAUUCUUCUAUAAAUUAGACUAGUAUGCAUUUUCAAUGACAAAAACUAGUUUGAUGUGGGCAGCAAUGCAGGUGUUGUAGAUAUUCUGUCAAUAUUGUGGGAACUUCAUAUAUCGGUGGUAAAUGACAACUUGUUGUCACUGUGAGAGAGAAGGAGAGGGAUUUUUUAUUUUUUUGGAAGAGCGGUGGUGCUACAAAUUGGUACAAAUUGUUGUGAAGUAAUAGAAGUUGGAACGAAUGGUAUAUACGCACACACCCCUGUCCUGUUGUGAUAACUUCAUUGCACAGUAUGCAUUGCAUGUAUAGUAUAGUAUGAAUGAGCAUUUUGGUCCUUAACACUGCCACUCUUCCCUUCUAAUUGCCUAAAAUGCAAACAAUACAACUU